Molecule: regulatory RNA element, 96 nt
Organism: Streptomyces toyocaensis
Lineage: Bacteria; Bacillati; Actinomycetota; Actinomycetes; Kitasatosporales; Streptomycetaceae
Rfam family: Glycine riboswitch aptamer
About the family: This family represents the bacterial glycine riboswitch. Glycine riboswitches usually consist of two metabolite-binding aptamers domains with similar structures in tandem. The aptamers cooperatively bind glycine to regulate the expression of downstream genes.
Source: Rfam
UGACCCCGUGCGGGAGAGUCCUCCAGGCACCAUCGGAGGCGCCGAAGGAGCAAAUCCUCCCCGGAAUCUCUCAGGCACACGUACCGCACGGACGAG